UACGUAGGGGGCAAGCGUUAUCCGGAAUUACUGGGUGUAAAGGGAGCGUAGACGGUAAUGUAAGUCUGGAGUGAAAGGCGGGGGCCCAACCCCCGGACUGCUCUGAAAACUAUGUUACUAGAGUGCAGGAGAGGUAAGCGGAAUUCCUAGUGUAGCGGUGAAAUGCGUAGAUAUUAGGAGGAACACCAGUGGCGAAGGCGGCUUACUGGACUGUAACUGACGUUGAGGCUCGAAAGCGUGGGGAGCAAACAGG
RNAcentral lists this ribosomal RNA (253 nucleotides) under uncultured bacterium. Its description in RNAcentral is "partial 16S ribosomal RNA". It matches the Rfam family "Bacterial small subunit ribosomal RNA", at positions 524 to 776 of the family's 1533-position model. The record is from RNAcentral.